CGGUGAAUACGUUCCCGGACCUUGCACACACCGCCCGUCAAGCCAUGGAAGCUGGGUGUACCUAAAGUCGGUAACCGUAAGGAGCCGCCUAGGGUAAAAUUAGUGACUGGGGCU
Molecule: ribosomal RNA, 114 nt
Filed under: uncultured bacterium
Lineage: Bacteria
Description: partial 16S ribosomal RNA
Rfam family: Bacterial small subunit ribosomal RNA
Source: RNAcentral